RNAcentral lists this non-coding RNA (22 nucleotides) under Xenopus tropicalis (tropical clawed frog). Its record names the gene xtr-miR-202-3p. Lineage: Eukaryota; Metazoa; Chordata; Amphibia; Anura; Pipidae. The record is from miRBase by way of RNAcentral.
AGGGGCAUAGGGCAUGGGAAAA